ACCCGCACAAGCGGUGGAGCAGUUGUGGUUUAAUUCGACGAUACACGAAGAACCUUACCUGGACUUGACAUAGUAAGAACUUUCUAGAGAUAGAUUGGUGUCUGCUUGCAGAAACUUAUAUACAGGUGCUGCACGGCUGUCGUCAGCUCGUGUCGUGAGAUGUUGGUUAAGUCCCGCAACGAGCGCAACCCUCGUCAUUAGUUGCUAACAGUUCGGCUGAGAACUCUAAUGAGACUGCCUACGCAAGUAGGAGGAAGGUGAGGACGACGUCAAGUCAUCAUGGCCCUUACGUCCAGGGCUACACACGUGCUACAAUGGGGUAUACAAAGAGCCGCAAUACGGUGACGUGGAGCAAAUCUCAAAAAUAUCUCCCAGUUCGGAUUGUAGUCUGCAACUCGACUACAUGAAGUUGGAAUCGCUAGUAAUCGCGGAUCAGCACGCCGCGGUGAAUACGUUCCCGGGCCUU
This 466-nucleotide ribosomal RNA is filed under the name uncultured Arcobacter sp. RNAcentral describes it as "bacterial SSU rRNA". It matches the Rfam family "Bacterial small subunit ribosomal RNA", at positions 919 to 1382 of the family's 1533-position model. The record is from RNAcentral. Lineage: Bacteria; Pseudomonadati; Campylobacterota; Epsilonproteobacteria; Campylobacterales; Arcobacteraceae.